UGGGGAAUAUUGGGCAAUGGGGCGCAAGCCUGACCCAGCAACACCGCGUGAGGGAAGAAGGUUUUCGGAUUGUAAACCUCUGUCGCAGAAGACGAAGGAAGUGACGGUAAUCUGUGAGGAAGCCUCGGCUAACUACGUGCCAGCAGCCGCGGUAAUACGUAGGGGGCGAGCGUUGUCCGGAAUGAUUGGGCGUAAAGGGCGCGUAGGCGGCCUGUUAAGUUUGAAGUGAAAGUCCUUCUUUUAAGGAGGGAAUUGCUUUGAAAACUGGCGGGCUUGAGUGCAGGAGAGGUAAGCGGAAUUCCCGGUGUAGCGGUGAAAUGCGUAGAGAUCGGGAGGAACACCAGUGGCGAAGGCGGCUUACUGGACUGUUGCUGACGCUGAGGCGCGAAAGUGUGGGGAGC
Molecule: ribosomal RNA, 401 nt
Filed under: uncultured bacterium
Lineage: Bacteria
Description: bacterial SSU rRNA
Rfam family: Bacterial small subunit ribosomal RNA
Source: RNAcentral